GUAACAGAGACAGGGCUGCCCGUGUGCCCUCGGUUCUCCUCUCCUCUCGCGCCGGCUUGUGGGACUUGGGUCGCCGCGGGGUGAGGACGCUGACCCAGGGGAAUCCGGGCGGGGCUGCGCGGGGUCUGGAUGGCGCCGCCGCGGGGACUCGGGCGGCCGGUGCGUCCGGCCCGGCGGGGGCUCUCCGGCCCCGGCCGCCCCCGCGCACUGCCGCCCCCAGGCCCGCCGGCGCCGCGCGCCCCCUCGCGCCCCCAGCCGCCCUGGCUCCCGCCCCCUCCCUCGGCGGCGGCGGCGGCCCCGGUGGCUCGGCGCCCCCCAGAGGAGGGAAAGUUGGGACCUGGCGGCGACGGACGCCCCCGGGCGCGGCUGGGAGGCUGCUGGGGAAAGUGAAGCCUGGAGGAGCUGGACGCGGGGAGGCUGGGGCAGGAAGGGCGCUGCUCGCUGUUGCUGAGUCUCCACGGACACCCCGGUACAAACCUAGGAGGAUCCGGCGCAGCCUCGCCAGCAGCGCCGGGACGAAACCCGGUGGCUCUUUGCCUGCUCACUUCGCGCUGCGGCUUGUGAGCCCCCUAACGCGCGGGUUUGCUCUGUUUGGGGAUUUUGAGAGGUUUGCUGAUAGAUUGGAUGUGGAAUGUGAAAACAGAAGAGUUAAGGAUGAAUCUAAGGUAAGAUUUGUUUGAAGACAAAUAUUUGCAACCUACUAUGAGGGAAUUCCUACCCUACAAAAUUAUUCUGGGAGCAAGCUAAUUAUAUUUACAAGUGGGCAAUGAACAUCCAGUCAUCUGAGAACAUGAGGUCAGGCCAUCCUACGUAUCUCCUUUAAUCCUCAUAAUAAUCCUGUACUGAGGCAGCCUUGGCACCCAGAUGGCCUUCCUGUGAUGGUGGUCUUGGAGAAUGUCUGGGCUGGGUUAGAAAAGCCUCCUCUGUUAGGUCUACAUCAUUAACUGAGGAGAGUCAAAAUCGUAAUACACAAAAGUAAUUGCAGUGAAGGCCAUAUGUAUAUUGGUGGCUGGUCGGAUUUGGCCUAUGGGUCAUAUAGAUUGACAAUCCCUGCUCUAUUAAACGUUCCUAUCUUCAGAAAAUAAGUUAAGGAAUGAGAGGCAAGGAAGAAAGGACAUUCAUCUUGGAAGAACCCAAAGCACUUUCAAAUUUUAAAGGAAUGUAAUGAUAGCUGCUAAAACCACCUUUGUCACCAUAAUGGAUGAAGUUCUUCAAAUUUAACCGGUGAAUAAUUGUAGCUGUAUUUGGACAUGAGUUUAAACUUUUUAAAGAAUUCAGGAAGUUAUGUUAUGGCAAGUGGCAUACUUGUUCUUCUGAAUGAUACAAAUGAUAAAGGAAUAGAACUCAGAGGGGACACAUGGCAGAGUUGGAAGUUUUACCCAGUUCUCCUAAUGCCAGAGCAGUGUUCUUUGUACUCCAAGAUUGUUCCUAGGGUGAAGGAAUAGCCUGGAGGCUUAGAGGUAGGUCAAUACACGUCAUUUCUGGGAAAUGGUUACAUAGUCCUUCAUAAUUAGAUGGUGGUUGAAGGGAAUGCACUGAGAGAUAGGACUGGAAAAAUAAGUUGAGUUAAAAUCAUGAAGAGUUUUGAAUACCCUAACAAGGGGGUUAGGUUUUUGAGCAGUGACUAAUAAUAAUGUAAAGAGUAGCUUAGAAAGAGAGAGAUUUGAGAGUGACGUCAGCAACAUGGCAGCGUGAGCUCACCCGGGACUCUCUCCCCUCCAAAUUACAACCAAAAAGAGCAACUGCUUUCCAACCAAAAAAAAAAUCCUAAUAACAGAAAUCAUCAGAGACCCACAGCAGCCAAACGACAGAGGGCAGAGAGGCUGGAGCCGCCCUUGAAGGAGCUGGAACAGGGUAAGAGAGAACUUUGUUCCCUCCGCUGGAAACUGGGAUCACUGCCGCAGGUGCGGGAAGGAGUGGGGGAGGGGCUGCACAUCCGGGUUCAUCCAGGACUCUCACUGCCUGUGCAGUGGAAACCCUCUAACAGGGGAAAGCUUUCGUGUGGGGCAACCCCAUCCAGCCAGGACCCCGGGAGACCAGAGAGCGACCGCUGAUCUGAAUCCAGGUCAGCACGCAAGAGAAACUGCCCCUCCUCCCCUGCCUGCCACCAUCAUGGCUGAAGGCGGAGGGGUCAGAACGCCCAGAUCUCAACCCCCAUCUACUGGGGACAGGCUGUAACUGCAACCAAAUAAUAGCAUCAUGGGCAAAAGCCACUCCUCUACCAUCCAGCAAUUUAUAAAAGCUGCAUUCCACAAGAAAAACAAUAAAAACACAGAAAUAUGUCCUAAGGACUUGGAAAUAGGUAAACUAAGUGAAGAUGAGUUCAAAAUAGCUAUCAUCAAAAUACUCAAUGAGGUAAAGGGAAAUACAGAGAAACAAGUCAAUGAGUUCUGGAGUUACUUCACAAAAGACAUUGAAACUAUAAAGAAGAAUCAAUCAGAAAUACUAGAGAUGAAAAAUACAGUGGAUCAGAUACAACAGAAUACGGAUGCCCUCAAUGCCCAUAUAGACACCAUAGAGGAGCAAAUUAGCAUAAUCGAAGAUAGACAGGCUGCAUGGCUCUGGACAGAGGAAGAAACAGAACUAAGAAUUAAGAAAAAUGGAGAAAAUCUCCGAGUAAUAGCUGACUCAGUGAGAAAAUGCAACUUAAGAAUCAUGGGAGUUCCUGAGGGUGUGGAAAAGGAAAAUGGAGCUCAGUGAAAUAAUGGAAGAGACCUUCCCAAAUCAAGGGAUUGAGAGAGAAAUGUGUGUGGAGGAAGCUUUCAAAUCUCCUAGAUUUGUCAAUGUAAUAAGACCUACUGCAAGGCAUAUAGUAGUAAAAAUCACAAAAAUGAAUGAUAAAGAAAGAAUACUCAGGGCAGCAAGGCAGAAGAAAAUAACCUACAAAGGAAGCCCCAUCAGACUUUCAUCAGAUUUCUCUACAGAAACCUUACAAGGUAGGAGAGAUUGGAGUGACACAUUCAAAACUUUAAAGGAUAAAAAUCUUCAGCCAAGAAUACUUUAUCCAGCAAAAAUAUCCUUCAGAUAUGAGGGAGAAAUUAAAUCUUUUCCAGACAAACAAAAGCUAAGGGAAUUUUUAUUCACAAGACCUCCACUACAAGAAAUCCUCAAGAAGGCUCUCAUACCUGAAAUAAGAAAAAAAGGGAGAAAGGGGUCACAAAACAUAGAUUAGGGAGACAAAUAGCUAGAAUUGAAAUAGGAUAGCAAAUAUUCAACUAUAGCAUUAGGAUAAAGGGAAGGAAAUCACCAAAGCAAAGACAAUCUUAUCACUCUAACCACAAACUCACAACACAAGUUGGAAUAAGAGAUGAAAGUAAUAAUUUAGGAGGGGAGUGGGAAAGGGACUGAAACAGUCUAGGCUAAGGAAGUAAGAGACCACCAGAAAAUGGACUAUGUUAUACAUGAGAUUCUGAAUACAAACUUCAGGGUAGCCAUUAAACUAAAAAACAGAACAGAGACACAAAACAUAAAUAAGGACAAUCUAAGAAACCCAGCCUAAGAAAUUGCAGAAUUCAAUGGGUAGACUAAAACACACAGGACAAGAAACAAAGGAAACACAGGAAAACUGGAAAACGAGCAACAGAAUGACAGCAUUAAGCUCUCAUGCGUCAGUACUCACCCUCAAUGUAAACA
Equus asinus (donkey) is the source of this 3633-nucleotide long non-coding RNA. The record is from Ensembl. NCBI's taxonomy places the organism in Eukaryota, Metazoa, Chordata, Mammalia, Perissodactyla, Equidae.